This 343-nucleotide unclassified non-coding RNA is filed under the name uncultured Conocybe. RNAcentral's name for it is "partial contains 5.8S ribosomal RNA, internal transcribed spacer 2, and large subunit ribosomal RNA". The stretch from base 1 to 102 matches the Rfam family "5.8S ribosomal RNA", at positions 53 to 154 of the family's 154-position model. Lineage: Eukaryota; Fungi; Basidiomycota; Agaricomycetes; Agaricales; Bolbitiaceae. The record is from RNAcentral.
AUGCGAUAAGUAAUGUGAAUUGCAGAAUUCAGUGAAUCAUCGAAUCUUUGAACGCACCUUGCGCUCCUUGGUAUUCCGAGGAGCAUGCCUGUUUGAGUGUCAUUAAAUUCUCAAUCUCUACAACUUUGUUGUUAGUCGAUUGGAUGUGGGGGUCUUGUGGGUGUUUAAGUACAUUUCCACUCCCCUAAAACGAAUUAGCUGGAAUGCCUCGGCAAGUCCAACUAUCAGUGUGAUAAAUAUCAGUACUGUAGUUGUUGCAUUGAGGGUAUCUGCUUCUCAACUGUCUUUGGACAACUUGAAUCAUUUUGACCUCAAAUCAGGUAGGACUACCCGCUGAACUUAA